Molecule: long non-coding RNA, 544 nt
Organism: Zophobas morio
Lineage: Eukaryota; Metazoa; Arthropoda; Insecta; Coleoptera; Tenebrionidae
Exons: 3
Source: RefSeq, a predicted model, not a curated record
AUAAAUUUGAAAGAUGUCAAAAUUUACGUAGAUGUCUCGAACAUGUUGUUUCAGUUUAUUAUGAUUCUUGCCUUUACCACAAUUGAAUUAGGGAUCGCGGUUCGAACAUGUUAUUUUUGUGCAGAUAUUAAGGCUAUGUGUAGACUAAACGAUCAACGCAUUAAUCCCGACAAAAUGCAGUGUAGCAAGUUUCGUGUAAAUGACGACGAAAGUGCUAGGGCCUAUAUUAAAAAACCAGACUGGCUCAAAAAUUAUACGAAUAUCAUGCUGUAUGCUGUUCCUUUAAAAAAGAACAAUGUCAAAACAUUGUGUAUUACGAUUCAUCAUAGAGAAACUAAUAGUUCCUCCAAGACGGAUUGGUAUACCUUUCAAACUUGCAUGUAUCGAGACCUUCUUGAAUAUGUUGACGGUUGCGAGUAUUUUCUUAAGCGAGUUUUUGUCGAAAAGGUGGCCACCGAUGUAACAUGCACUUCAUGCAAACGACAAGAUUGCAAUUCGGCGAAAAGAAGACAGCCGAAUGAAAAGAUACAUUUAUUUGUGAUAA